This 465-nucleotide ribosomal RNA is filed under the name uncultured Planctomycetales bacterium. RNAcentral's name for it is "bacterial SSU rRNA". It matches the Rfam family "Bacterial small subunit ribosomal RNA", at positions 371 to 828 of the family's 1533-position model. The record is from RNAcentral. Lineage: Bacteria; Pseudomonadati; Planctomycetota; Planctomycetia; Planctomycetales.
AUGCCCGAAGGGUGACAAUGCGACGCCGCGUGAGCGAUGAAGUCCUUCGGGAUGUAAAGUUCUGUCAGCCUGGAUGAAUAUUUGCUUUUUAACAAAAAGCGGAGACGACGGUACAGGCAGAGGAAGCCACGGCUAACUCCGUGCCAGCAGCCGCGGUAAUACAGAGGUGGCAAGCGUUGUUCGGUAUUAUUGGGCGUAAAGAGCACGUAGGUGGUUUUGUAAGUCAGAUGUGAAAGCCUUCUGUUCAAAGGAAGAACGGCAUCUGAAACUGCGAAUCUUGAGUAUAGGAGGGGAGAAUGGAACUUCUGGUGGAGCGGUGAAAUGCGUAGAUAUCAGAAGGAACGCCGGCGGCGAAAGCGAUUCUCUGGCCUAUUACUGACACUCAGUGUGCGAAAGCUAGGGGAGCAAACGGGAUUAGAUACCCCGGUAGUCCUAGCCGUAAACGAUGGGCACUAAGUAGAGGGG